CCCCAAUCCACAUCCCCCGCGCCCCUCACUGGUCCCUCCUCCUCCUUCCCUCGUCCGCCGCCUCGCUCCCUCGCUCUCCUCCCUCGUCGCCGUGGCCUUCGGCCUAGGAGCCCCGGCGGCUACUGCUCCUCCUCCACCACCUCGCCUCUUUCUCCUCCUCGCCUUCCCAUCGCUCGCGCGCAUGUCACCGCCGUCGAAGAACACGGGAGUGCGGGUCUUCAAGUUGGGGUGGUCAGGAGGGCUUCCCAACCUGACGGCGCCUCCUCCUCCUCGCAGCGUCGUAGCGCGUGCACCUUCUUAUCCCCCCUCCUCCCUCCCUCGUCACUACUUCCACCAGUUCCCUCCCUUCCUCGUCUGUGGACGCUGCUGACCCCUCCUCCGGCCUCUGCGUCUCCGCCCAGGCGGCAAGGCCCCCAGCCCCCCUCGGGCCUCGGCCCCUCCGUACAGCCCGCUUCUGCCUCGUCCAACUCGCUGCUUAGCUCCCCAGGCUCGGAGGGCAGCGGGCGCGGCAGGCUUGGCAGGCAGCGGGCGCGGUGGUCAAGGCCAGGGGCGCGGAUUGGGGAGAUGCGCACACGAGGAGCGACGGCGACCGUGUCUGCCGCCAACACUGAGCUCUUCGUUCUUUCAAGCCCUAUGUUGCUUACUCAAAUGUUUGUGGCGAUUGUAUCCUUGUGCCAUGAAUAUUUGUACUUAGCAGAUCAAUAUGAACAUAUUGGUUAUCUAUUUACCAAUUCAGAAUUUAAAACACUUUAUUUUAUGGCCUUGAGUAAAAGUUCAGUCAUUGUUGGCUGGAAGACAUCUUCAAUACGCUGUCAACACGAGCUUCCCAAGGUAAUGAUCUAA
Molecule: ribosomal RNA, 843 nt
Filed under: Triticum aestivum (bread wheat)
Lineage: Eukaryota; Viridiplantae; Streptophyta; Magnoliopsida; Poales; Poaceae
Description: partial small subunit ribosomal RNA
Source: RNAcentral